CGCGGCGACAGACCGCCGAACGGACAGCACUCCCCACUGUCCGCCCAAGGCUCAACCACAGGAAUGUGUACAAGAAUUCACCCAGGACUUUAAAUUCUAAACAUACACAUUCAGCAAGGGCACAAACAGUGCCAACAACAAGAAGAGCAAGUAAUCCACGAGAUAUACAAGUGAAAUAAAGAGAGUACUUUACUAACUAUUACAUUAGUUACAUUCAUUACAUCAUUUUUCAUCCAAAAUACAUAGCUCUCCAACCUCACCUACAAGAAUCUCUCUCAAUACAUAGGUGACUAAUGCAAAAAGGAAAGCUACUAUACUACCACGGUCUCACUGGUCGGGCGCGACGCCCUUGCCGCGGUCCUCUCUCUGCAGCCCUGAACCUACCACUGGAAAUAGAGUGGGGUGAGAACUAUCUUCCAUAGUUCCCAGUGGGCUCGGCCGCCGACUCUGCCGAUCUCCCCACUAGGUCCAAGUGGGCACAAGUAACAACAGAUAGAUAGAUAGAUAUGUAUCUGAAAGCUGUAAAUGCAGUAGUAGGAAAACUAUGCUACUAUGCCCAUAAUCAUGAAUAUGAAUGCAUGCAUCAUAUAAUAAAGGUUUGCUACCAUGCUAACAAAUUCGAUCCAUGUUCGAAUAGUAAUGUUCAAUGACAUUUAUAAACCUUUAACCUUUUUCAUUUACCCAAUCUGUGGCGAGGCCCUAGGGCUCGCCCAUGACUCACCUUCAAAUCCCAAAGUGGGGAGGGAGCUCCAAGUGCACCCAAGCCCGGGACCGUCUGCGGACCUCCAUGUGGUCCGGACCUCCAAGUGGUCCUAGUCGCACGACACUCCGGAGUACUCGACGACAAUCCCCUCCAUGUGGGGAUUGGAUGGCUAUACCAUCCUAAAUACAGACUGUGAGCUAGAUCUAUCCUCUCCAAGUGAGGACACUCUACAACUAGAGUCAAUAACCCAAUCGAAUCCUCUCCAAGUGAGGACGCCCUACACAAGGGUCAACAAUUAUCGUGGAAUCAUCGGUUUCCGACCUUCUUGCAAUGCUAUUUAGUUUUCUAAAUUCAUUGUUCACAAGGCAUUUUCUAAGGGAUCCACCUAUCCCUAGGUCCAUCGACCUCUAGUGUUAUUUACACUACAUUAAUGCCACUCGUUAUCAUUCGAUGUUUGGAUGCCACUCGUUUGUUCUUUGACAAUAACGCUACUUUCUAUGUCAUCAAUACCCCCAUCGGGUUCAUCUCUAUCUCUAGCAUCAUAGGAUCCACGUACCGACCCAAUCCUCACCUAUCUAGUUACCAAGCGUUCCAAGUACACUAGGUUAUCAUUUAGAAAGCAUAAGGAUGGAGCUACUAUGCAAUCCUACAAUGCAACAUAAAGAGAUGAGAUUAAAUGCAAUCUAAGACAUAGAAAGGAGUUCGAAAGCUUCGGAUGACACCCCCCACCUUUUUAUCAAUGUAGAGGCUUUGGAAAUUCCUUCCGGCGAGCUUCGCAAAAAGGCUUUAGCCUUCCUCGCCCAAAUCCAAGCUAUCCCGGCCCGAUUUUCCCGAGAACUUCACGUCGGUUCGCCGAGUGCCGAAAUCGACUUUGCCCCCGCGUUUUGGGACCUAUCAAUAGGGUUUCCAAGGCUUCAAAUGAGAUCAAUCUCAUACUUUUACAAAAGCUCCAUUUUGGAACCCUAGAUUUGCACCUAUAGCAAACCACCCCAUAAAUCUCUAGACUCUUGGGAUUGAUCUAUUUAGAAGCUUGCUUAGGGUCCCUUUGACCCAUUCCAAGGCAUAAAACCCAUAAACCCUAAGUUCUAGAAGCUAGGGUUUAGUAGCUUACCUCAAGAGCUACACCAAUGAGAAGAGGAGAGGGAGAUGGAGGUGCUCCAAGCCUUCCUCUUGAUCUCCUUCUUCUUCUCCUUCCUUAUCUUCCUCUUCUUUUUCUUCCUCUCCUUCUUCUUCUUCUCCUUCUUUUCUUCCUAGAGAGAGAAAGAGCAAGAGAGAAAUGGGAGUGAGAGAGGGGAAAUGAGAGAGUGUGAGGGAGAGAGAGGGCUCAGCCCACUCAAAUAAAUGCCAUUUUGCAUUUAGACCCCUCAACUUUUAACUCCUUGCACAGCCCUCACUGGGCUGAUUUCGCGCGGAGGGACCGGUCUCCCCGACUUGGGACCGGUCCCCGAGAGCUUCCCUCGGGCGCACGCGUUCGGGAACCGGUCUCUCCCCGGGAGACCGGUCCUUGGGAGACCGGUCCUCACCUGAGAGACCGGUCCCCGAGAGCUUGAUUUUCAGGACUUAGCCAAAUUUUUGGCAUUCUCGCUGGGACCACGUUCGGGAACCGGUCUCUCAUCACCAGGGACCGGUUGCAUCAUGCAACCCCGCAACACCCAGCCGAGGGAACCGGUCUCUCACCUCCAGAGACCGGUCCCCGAGAGCAACUUCUGAUCAAUGAUGCCAUUUGCCUCAUUUGCUCUCGCGGACUCAACUCCAAGGCACUUUUUGUACUUUGGACAUUCUCAACUCCCACAAAGGGUAUACUUCGGACAAUUAGUCGAUCCUGGAUGAAGUACAAUCCUCGUAUUUCGAGAAUUCACUUCCUUACAUCCUCCUCUCCUUAAAAGGAGUUUCGUCCUCGAAACGAACAAUUUUCCUAACUUUCAUUAAACUCAUACCUCACUCCUCAAAUAGAUGAGGAUGGUGCUUUCUCAUCAGCUCCUCGAGUUCCCAUGUGGCUUCGCGAUCAUCAUGAUUGCUCCACCGAACUUUCACAUAGGGGAUUUCUCGAUUCCUCAGCUUUCGCACCUCUCGGGCGAUAACCCCUACCGGAAACUCUUCAUAACUCAAGUCUUCUUGAAGUUCCGGAGGUUCAUAUAGCAUCGCGUGCUCGGGAUCGUGAAUGUACUUGCGGAGAUUGGAGACAUAAAAUACAUUAUGUACAUCCGCAAGCUUCGGCGGUANCGUGUAGCGUCUUGGAGACAUUAGCCCCUGCAACGCAAUUAUUUAUCAGUCAUCUUAUUCAACUGCCUCGUCGCUCUACGACGCAUGACGACUCAUUCACAAAAUCAGGCGGAAGCACACAAGCGUACUCGUCCUAGACUCUUGGCAUCAUGUCGUCGGCCGCCGACACAACCACCUCAAGUCAAGAACUCAUACAACUCGAAUCCGCCUCUAAUCUCAACUAGAGACCCAUACCAACUUCGACCCAAUUGACUUAACUUCCGCCAUCGCUAUAGGUUCACGUUCCGUUCACGCACCUAUAUCCUUAAGGCUUGCCAACCUAGGGUCUCCUAGGUCUUCCUAACUCCCUUUACUUGCUCUUAUUGCUCUGAUACCACAAAGACUGUCACGCCCCGCUCCGAAACCACUACCAAUUUGGCACGAUUCGGCCGCGGCGACAGACCGCCGAACGGAUAGCACUUCCCCUGUCCGCCCAAGGCUCAACCACAGGAAUGUGUACAAGAAUUCACCCAGGGCUUUAAAUUCUAAACACACACAUUCAACGAGGGCACAAACAGUGCCAACAACAAGAAGAGCAAGUAAUCCACAAGAUAAACGAGUGAACUGAAGAGAGUACUUUACUAACUAUUACAUCAGUUACAUUCAUUACAUCAUUUUUCAUCCAAAAUUACAUUUGAUUUCCAAAUACAUAGCUCUCCGACCUCACCUACAAGAAUCUCUCUCAAUACAUAGGUGUACUAAUGCAAAAGGGAAAGCUACUACACUACCACGUCUCACUGGUCGGGUGCGACGCCCUUGCCGCGGUCCUGACUCUGCAGCCCUGAACCUACCACUGGAAAUAGAGUGGGGUGAGAACUAUCUUCCAUAGUUCCCA
Molecule: long non-coding RNA, 3800 nt
Filed under: Ananas comosus (pineapple)
Lineage: Eukaryota; Viridiplantae; Streptophyta; Magnoliopsida; Poales; Bromeliaceae
Description: long non-coding RNA (ACOM_LNC033168)
Source: RNAcentral